Molecule: non-coding RNA, 225 nt
Organism: Pelobates cultripes (western spadefoot toad)
Lineage: Eukaryota; Metazoa; Chordata; Amphibia; Anura; Pelobatidae
Source: the annotation of a GenBank genome assembly
CAGUGAGACAUUUAAUUUAAAUUAAAAAAAAUUUCCUCAUAAUCCUCGUACAAUUAAACUGUGUCUGUGUUAAAAUAAACAAAGGAAUAGAUUGGUUGCUCCUAAGAUUUAUAUAUCAAAUUCUGAGCAUUUAUUGUCAAUAAUCACUUGGAAGUUGUAAAAUGUAUCGGAGAAAGUUUCUAUUGCCGACUGUUCUUGCUGAUUUGCCUGCACAUCUUCCUCAUG